GCUGACGAGUGGCGGACGGGUGAGUAAUGUCUGGGAAACUGCCUGAUGGAGGGGGAUAACUACUGGAAACGGUAGCUAAUACCGCAUAACGUCGCAAGACCAAAGAGGGGGACCUUCGGGCCUCUUGCCAUCGGAUGUGCCCAGAUGGGAUUAGCUAGUAGGUGGGGUAACGGCUCACCUAGGCGACGAUCCCUAGCUGGUCUGAGAGGAUGACCAGCCACACUGGAACUGAGACACGGUCCAGACUCCUACGGGAGGCAGCAGUGGGGAAUAUUGCACAAUGGGCGCAAGCCUGAUGCAGCCAUGCCGCGUGUAUGAAGAAGGCCUUCGGGUUGUAAAGUACUUUCAGCGGGGAGGAAGGGAGUAAAGUUAAUACCUUUGCUCAUUGACGUUACCCGCAGAAGAAGCACCGGCUAACUCCGUGCCAGCAGCCGCGGUAAUACGGAGGGUGCAAGCGUAAUCGGAAUUACUGGGCGUAAAGCGCACGCAGGCGGUUUGUUAAGUC
Molecule: ribosomal RNA, 505 nt
Filed under: uncultured Escherichia sp.
Lineage: Bacteria; Pseudomonadati; Pseudomonadota; Gammaproteobacteria; Enterobacterales; Enterobacteriaceae
Description: bacterial SSU rRNA
Rfam family: Bacterial small subunit ribosomal RNA
Source: RNAcentral